Molecule: long non-coding RNA, 1567 nt
Organism: Triplophysa rosa
Lineage: Eukaryota; Metazoa; Chordata; Actinopteri; Cypriniformes; Nemacheilidae
Exons: 2
Source: RefSeq, a predicted model, not a curated record
GAAAAAAAAGAAUGUCAUACAGGUCUGAAAGCACAAGAGGGGGCGAGUAAGUGAUGACAGAAUUUUCAUUUUCGGGUGAACUAUUUAACCCCAAAAACUGCAUCUCUUGCAUUAUAGUGGACCAGCAUGGUGAUAAAAAUAACAACAUUUAAUGUCAUUUAAAAAAUCACGUGUGGACGUACACAAUUUUUAUGACAUUGAGCACCUGCCUUAUACACAAAUGUAAUAUGAAUCUCUGUGUCUCUCCUGUAAUGUAGGUGUUGAAUUCCUGUCGACUCUGCAACUUUAUGUCUCAUCUCUCGAUGGUAAAGCAAACUCUAGGGGUGUGGAACACUGUGAAUCAAGAAUGUGGUUCACCGAGGCUGGGAAAUAUUGCACACGAGUGUUGCUCAACUUCAGAAUCGGUGUAACUCUCGGCCCCCACGUGCAGGGGACCGUUAAAGAACGCGACACGCACGUCUCCCAUAAAUCCUGUGAAAUUCAACCAAUCAGAUGAUGACUUCGAACGUGCUGAAGUGUUUCCAGAAAAGUGUGCCUUCUGCAUCAGACGUUCAGCCAACGGUCCGAGGCUGAGACUAUACAAGUCCGUUACAAAUCGACUUCUUGUGAGCUUUUAGUUUUAUCAAUUGGCAUAAAAUCUUGUCUGACAGGUCUGACGUUCCUAAACUCACCGUAAAACAACCAACCCGAACAGAAUAGUGUUACAGUAUGUAAGUGUAAUUGCUUACAGGUAGUUAGCAAUAAGCAAUCUUAUAAACUGUAAACACAAACCAAAUCUUUCUUCUAGCAUCUUCUGUUAUUGCAACAUCCGUCAGCUCUCUGGGAUCAUGUAAUCAAAUCUGUGAAGGGUUAAGAUGGUCUGGACCAGCAAACACUGUUAAGACAUGCAGCUCUUUCAUCAAAUACCUUCUGCAAACCCAGCACGUCUACAUUCAUCAGUGUCAGUGUUCAGAGUUUCUCAUGAUGAUAAAAUAACACCAGGUGCCCAAAACUGAUGAAAUAACGAGCAUUGACUUUUUCACUGACUGGAGGGCAGAUUUCAGUUAAAGAUUGAGAAAGUGCCUUUAGGUUGUAACCCUGAACAUUCCUUUCAAAAACCCCUACAAUUUCAGAAAAGCGUAAGAUUAUGAAGCAUGCAGGUGGUGGAGGUUCAGCAGUAACGCCUCGGGGGAAAGCCUGAACCAGAGGAUAUGACUGAACAGGUCGUUCGGUGAAACAGAAACAUUUAUGGGAACGUCAAACUGUCUAUGCGUCACAGUCAGGAAAUGCAGGGCAACAUUCUGACAGAGAUAAACCCUGCGUGUUUUAUUUUCUGCUACUGGUGCAAAGCACGAGCGACUGUUAUCAAGACCUGAUCAGUCCGGACAAACACUAGAAGAGACUUACGCAACUGCAACGUAAAAAAAAAUCUAUAUGUCAAUCAUUCAUGACGCUAGGAAAAUAUGACUGAAACAAAGUUACCUUGUAUUUUGUCUUCCUCAUAUACAGCAACAAGACAGUCACACAAGUUUUCUAAUGAUGAAAUAAUAUGGUCCAUUGUUCAUGUGAUGAAUUACACAUGUGGUAA